RNAcentral lists this small nucleolar RNA (93 nucleotides) under Macaca fascicularis (crab-eating macaque). Its description in RNAcentral is "Small nucleolar RNA SNORA40 (ENSMFAG00000004933.2)". It matches the Rfam family "Small nucleolar RNA SNORA40", at positions 36 to 128 of the family's 128-position model. Rfam says of the family: The snoRNA ACA 40 belongs to the H/ACA family of snoRNAs and guides the pseudouridylation of 28S rRNA subunit at position U4565. Lineage: Eukaryota; Metazoa; Chordata; Mammalia; Primates; Cercopithecidae. The record is from Rfam by way of RNAcentral.
AAGACUUAUGGAUAGGUGCAAAACAUAAAUCCUCUUUUGCAACACAGAACUAAUAGUUAAGUAUGAAUUUUGAUACUUAUAAGAAGGGAUAUU